GAGUUUGAUUCUGGCUCAGGACAAACGCUGGCGGCGUGCAUAACACAUGCAAGUCGAACGAAAUCUACAUGAUUUAGUGGCGAACGGGUGAGUAACACGUGAGAAACCUGCCUUACACAGAGGGAUAGCCGUUGGAAACGACGAUUAAUACCUCAUGACACCGUGACAUCGCAUGAUGAUGCGGUCAAAGAUUUAUCGGUGUAAGAUGGUCUCGCGCCUGAUUAGCUGGUUGGUGGGGUAACGGCCUACCAAGGCGACGAUCAGUAGCCGAUCUGAGAGGGUGGACGGCCACAUUGGGACUGAGACACGGCCCAAACUCCUACGGGAGGCAGCAGUGGGGAAUUUUGCACAAUGGGGGAAACCCUGAUGCAGCGACGCCGCGUGAACGAAGAAGGCCUUCGGGUUGUAAAGUUCUGUCCUUGGUGAAGAUAA
Molecule: ribosomal RNA, 432 nt
Filed under: Helcococcus sp. canine oral taxon 069
Lineage: Bacteria; Bacillati; Bacillota; Tissierellia; Tissierellales; Peptoniphilaceae
Description: bacterial SSU rRNA
Rfam family: Bacterial small subunit ribosomal RNA
Source: RNAcentral